UGCUAGAGUACGAGAGGGGAUGGCGGAAUUCCAGGUGUAGGGGUGAAAUCGGUAGAUAUCUGGAGGAACACCAACGGCGAAGGCAGCCAUCUGGUUCAGUACUGACGCUGAGGCGCGAAGGUGCGGGGAGCAAACAGGUUUAGAUACCCUGGUAGUCCGCACAGUAAACGAUGUGCACCAGGUGUCGGGCAACAGUUGUUCGGUACCGAAGCAAACGCGAUAAGUGCACCGCCUGGGGAGUAUGCCCGCAAGGGUGAAACUCAAAGGAAUUGACUGUUGAGGGAAUU
RNAcentral lists this ribosomal RNA (287 nucleotides) under uncultured bacterium. RNAcentral's name for it is "partial 16S ribosomal RNA". It matches the Rfam family "Bacterial small subunit ribosomal RNA", at positions 639 to 927 of the family's 1533-position model. The record is from RNAcentral.